CGUAACGAUGGGCCGGCAGCGGGGUGAAUGGAGGGGGUGGGAGCGUUGUCCGGAAGCGCUGGGCGUGAAGGGCGCGUAGGCGGCCUGGCAAGGCUGUGUGGAAAGCUCAGGGCUCAACGCUGAGUCGGCCAUAGAUACUGCGAGGCUCGAGUCGACUAGAGGCAGAUGGAAUUCCGGGUGUAGCGGUGGAAUGCGUAGAGAUCCGGAAGAACACCGGUGGCGAAGGCGGUCUGCUGGGGUCGAACUGACGCUGAUGCGCGACAGCGUGGGGAGCAAACAGGAUUAGAUACCCUGGUAGUC
This 300-nucleotide ribosomal RNA is filed under the name uncultured Thermodesulfobacterium sp. RNAcentral's name for it is "bacterial SSU rRNA". The stretch from base 59 to 300 matches the Rfam family "Bacterial small subunit ribosomal RNA", at positions 554 to 795 of the family's 1533-position model. The record is from RNAcentral. Lineage: Bacteria; Pseudomonadati; Thermodesulfobacteriota; Thermodesulfobacteria; Thermodesulfobacteriales; Thermodesulfobacteriaceae.